RNAcentral lists this ribosomal RNA (468 nucleotides) under uncultured bacterium. Its description in RNAcentral is "partial 16S ribosomal RNA". It matches the Rfam family "Bacterial small subunit ribosomal RNA", at positions 28 to 507 of the family's 1533-position model. The record is from RNAcentral.
GACGAACGCUGGCGGCGUGCUUAACACAUGCAAGUCGAACGGAAAGGCCCUGCUUUUGUGGGGUGCUCGAGUGGCGAAAGGGUGAGUAACACGUGAGUAACCUGCCCUUGACUUUGGGAUAACUUCAGGAAACUGGGGCUAAUACCGGAUAGGAGCUCCUGCUGCAUGGUGGGGGUUGGAAAGUUUCGGCGGUUGGGGAUGGACUCGCGGCUUAUCAGCUUGUUGGUGGGGUAGUGGCUUACCAAGGCUUUGACGGGUAGCCGGCCUGAGAGGGUGACCGGCCACAUUGGGACUGAGAUACGGCCCAGACUGCUACGGGAGGCAGAAGUGGGGAAUAUUGCACGAUGGGCGGAAGCCUGAUGCAGCAACGCCGCGUGCGGGAUGACGGCCUUCGGGUUGUAACCCGCUUUCGCCUGUGACGAAGCGUGAGUGACGGUAAUGGGUAAAGAAGCACCGGCUAACUACGUG